RNAcentral lists this ribosomal RNA (158 nucleotides) under Alternaria alternata. Its description in RNAcentral is "5.8S ribosomal RNA". The stretch from base 30 to 158 matches the Rfam family "5.8S ribosomal RNA", at positions 1 to 129 of the family's 154-position model. From Rfam's summary of the family: 5.8S ribosomal RNA (5.8S rRNA) is a component of the large subunit of the eukaryotic ribosome. It is transcribed by RNA polymerase I as part of the 45S precursor that also contains 18S and 28S rRNA. Lineage: Eukaryota; Fungi; Ascomycota; Dothideomycetes; Pleosporales; Pleosporaceae. The record is from RNAcentral.
AUCAGCGUCAGUAACAAAUUAAUAAUUACAACUUUCAACAACGGAUCUCUUGGUUCUGGCAUCGAUGAACAACGCAGCGAAAUGCGAUAAGUAGUGUGAAUUGCAGAAUUCAGUGAAUCAUCGAAUCUUUGAACGCACAUUGCGCCCUUUGGUAUUCC